CUACGGUGCUCCAGUGGGGAAUAUUGGACAAUGGGGGAAACCCUGAUCCAGCAAUGCCGCGUGUGUGAAGAAGGCCUGCGGGUUGUAAAGCACUUUCGGUUGGGAGGACUGCUUCUAGCACUAAUAUUGUUGGAAGUUGACGUUACCUUCAGAAGAAGCACCGGCUAACUCCGUGCCAGCAGCCGCGGUAAUACGGAGGGUGCAAGCGUGAAUCGGAAUUACUGGGCGUAAAGCGCGCGUAGGCGGCUAGAUCAGUCGGGUGUGAAAGCCCCGGGCUUAACCUGGGAACUGCAUCCGAUACUGUCUAGCUUGAGUACAGGAGAGGAGAGUGGAAUUCCACAUGUAGCGGUGAGAUGCGUAGAUAUGUGGAGGAACACCAAUGGCGAAGGCAGCUCUCUGGCCUGAUACUGACGCUGAGGUGCGAAAGCGUGGGGAGCAAACAGGAUUAGAUACCCGCGUAGUC
RNAcentral lists this ribosomal RNA (463 nucleotides) under uncultured bacterium. RNAcentral describes it as "partial 16S ribosomal RNA". It matches the Rfam family "Bacterial small subunit ribosomal RNA", at positions 339 to 795 of the family's 1533-position model. The record is from RNAcentral.